ACGGGAGGCAGCAGUGGGGAAUAUUGCGCAAUGGGCGGAAGCCUGACGCAGCGACGCCGCGUGGGGGAUGACGGCCUUCGGGUUGUAAACCUCUUUCGGCCCCGACGAAGCGUGAGUGACGGUAGGGGUGGAAGAAGCACCGGCCAACUACGUGCCAGCAGCCGCGGUAACACGUAGGGUGCGAGCGUUGUCCGGAAUUAUUGGGCGUAAAGAGCUCGUAGGCGGUGUGUCGCGUCGGCCGUGAAAACCUGCAGCUUAACUGUGGGCUUGCGGUCGAUACGGGCAUCACUGGAGUUCGGCAGGGGAGACUGGAAUUCCUGGUGUAGCGGUGAAAUGCGCAGAUAUCAGGAGGAACACCGGUGGCGAAGGCGGGUCUCUGGGCCGAUACUGACGCUGAGGAGCGAAAGCGUGGGGAGCGAACAGGAUUAGAUACCCUGGUA
This 440-nucleotide ribosomal RNA is filed under the name uncultured Pseudonocardia sp. Its description in RNAcentral is "bacterial SSU rRNA". It matches the Rfam family "Bacterial small subunit ribosomal RNA", at positions 341 to 792 of the family's 1533-position model. Lineage: Bacteria; Bacillati; Actinomycetota; Actinomycetes; Pseudonocardiales; Pseudonocardiaceae. The record is from RNAcentral.